CAUAGCGACUAUCGUGGCAUAUCAAUAAGCGGAGGAAAAGAAACUAACAAGGAUUCCCCUAGUAACGGCGAGUGAAGCGGGAAGAGCUCAAAUUUGAAAUCUUCAAGGUUCUACCUUGACGAAUUGUAGUUUAUAGAAGUGUUUUCUGUUAGUAGAGUGGCAAAAGAUUCUUUGGAAUAGGACAUCAUAGAGGGUGAGAAUCCCGUAUUUGGUCAUUCCUCCUAGCUUUGUGAUACACUUUCAACGAGUCGGAUUGUUUGGGAAUGCAGUCCAAAAUGGGUGGUAAAUUUCAUCUAAAGCUAAAUAUUGGCGAGAGACCGAUAGCGAACAAGUACCGUGAGGGAAAGAUGAAAAGAACUUUGAAAAGAGAGUUAAACAGUACGUGAGAUUGUCAAAAGGGAAGCGUUUGACACCAGUGUUGUUUUUCCGAAAAUCAAUUACGAAUGUUUUGUCUUUGAGGAGUUAUGACUUCAUCGGCUUGCUUCUUUCUUUACGAAACUUUCUUAAUGCACUUUUCGGUUAACAAGUCAACAUCAAUUUCUUUUGUUGUAGAAGGGUAUGAGGAAGGUGGCUUUCUUUUCGGAGAAAGUGUUUAUAGCCUUGUGCCUCUGCAAUCGGAGAGAUAGAGGUCUGCAGCGUAGAUCCUUCGGGGUUAGAUACAUUUGUGCUAAGUUAUAGCUUUUCAUAGACAACUUGUUGACUAUGUUUAGUCUUGUAGCUUACUCGCUUACUGCUAUUUUACCUACGCUUAGGAUGUUGAUAUGCAUGACUGAUAU
This 776-nucleotide ribosomal RNA is filed under the name uncultured Neocallimastigales. Its description in RNAcentral is "partial large subunit ribosomal RNA". It matches the Rfam family "Eukaryotic large subunit ribosomal RNA", at positions 22 to 640 of the family's 3401-position model. The record is from RNAcentral. Lineage: Eukaryota; Fungi; Neocallimastigomycota; Neocallimastigomycetes; Neocallimastigales.